UGGAAUUGGGAGACCAGUUAGGAGACUACUGCAAUCAUUCAAGAGAAAGAUGAUGGAGACUGGGAAUAAAAUUGCAGCAAUGGAGAAGUCAUCUUUUCUAAAACUCUUCUAGUGGCAGCUCUAAAUAUCAGUUGGACUGGUACUGAAGAAAAAACAGGACAAAAAGGCCAGAAGGUCUCGCCCCACAGCAAAUUAGAAGUUAAUUUGCAUGAGAGCAAGAGCCUUUGCUGUCCUGUUUUACAUCGUUGAUGC
This is a long non-coding RNA of Homo sapiens (human), 252 nucleotides long. RefSeq lists it as uncharacterized. The transcript is spliced from 3 exons. The record is from RefSeq and is a predicted model, not a curated record. NCBI's taxonomy places the organism in Eukaryota, Metazoa, Chordata, Mammalia, Primates, Hominidae.